GGAGGAAUGGCUGAGAGGUUUAAAGCGUUGGUUUGCUAAAUCAAUGUCGCGCUCCGCGCGACCAUGGGUUCAAAUCCCAUUUCCUCCG
Molecule: transfer RNA, 88 nt
Filed under: Ostreobium quekettii
Lineage: Eukaryota; Viridiplantae; Chlorophyta; Ulvophyceae; Bryopsidales; Ostreobiaceae
Description: tRNA-Ser
Rfam family: tRNA
About the family: Transfer RNA (tRNA) molecules are approximately 80 nucleotides in length. Their secondary structure includes four short double-helical elements and three loops (D, anti-codon, and T loops).
Source: RNAcentral